AGCCAAUAGAUACCCUGGUAGUCCACGCCCUAAACGAUGUCUACUAGUUGUUGGUGGAGUAAAAUCCAUGAGUAAACGCAGCUAACGCGUGAAGUAGACCGCCUGGGGAGUACGGUCGCAAGAUUAAAACUCAAAGGAAUUGACGGGGCCCGCACAAGCGGUGGAUUAUGUGGAUUAAUUCGAUGCAACGACGAAAACCUUACCUGGCCUUGACAUGCCACUAACGAAGCAGAGAUGCAUUAGGUGCCCGUAAGGGAAAGUGGACACAGGUGCUGCAUGGCUGUCGUCAGCUCGUGUCGUGAGAUGUUGGGUUAAGCCCCGCAACGAGCGCAACCCUUGCCAUUAAUUGCCAUCAUUUAGUUGGGCACCUUAAUGGGACUGCCGGUGACAAACCGGAGGAAGGUGGGGAUGACGUCAAGUCCUCAUGGCCCUUAUGGCCAGGGCUUCACACGUAAUAC
RNAcentral lists this ribosomal RNA (458 nucleotides) under uncultured bacterium. RNAcentral's name for it is "bacterial SSU rRNA". It matches the Rfam family "Bacterial small subunit ribosomal RNA", at positions 774 to 1228 of the family's 1533-position model. The record is from RNAcentral.